AUGACUCAGAUUUUCUUUGAAUCAUUCUCACUUAUUUCCAAACUAAUUGUAAUAAUUUAAGUUUGUACGUAAAAAAGCUGUUGUACAUAGUCCCUUGGUGUUAAUUGUAUUGUAAGUAAUAUCUCGAAUUAACUUUUUUUUGGGAUCGCAGUUUUAUAUUGUGUUUUUAAUUUUAUGAGCAGCUUUAUCUUUCCGGCUUAUGAAUUGCUCAUACCAGUGAAAUUGGCGUAGAUCGUACACUGUUUAAGUAGAUUGUAUCUUGGUGUCACUUCAUCAUGGGAGACUUAAUAGAAAUAACAACAUGGCCCAAGCACCUGAAUGCAUUUUACAAGAUCACAAGUAAUGCCCUGGCUUUUGAAGUGAUGGCUAACGGCAAUGCUGCAAUCGGACUUUCAAGAAAACCAGCUAAUGACUGUGAAUUUUGGAUUGUUAUGGGAGAAAGGCAGCAAUGCUGGAUUAAGAAGCAUGACAGCCCUCGUAGAGAGGCAGCAAACACUCCGGGAAUCCUCAGCGGGGAGGAAUACCGCAAGUUUUGGUUGACUUGGGCCAACGGCUGUGUGCGCCUCGGCAGAGAUGGCUACUCUGAUGCCAUAGUCACAUGUGCCAAUGACAUUAAUGAUAUUAAGUAUGUCACAUUUUCGGUUGUGGAGCAGAGGAACCCUGUCCACUGGCGGUUUGAAAUACCACCACAAGCAGAGAAACUAAAUCACCGAACAAUAACAGGAUGUGAUCUUCAGUGGGUGACAUACGACCCGGAGCAGGAGCUCCCGGCCGAGCCUCUGGUAGGGGGCUUUGAGGGUGAAAGGCUGUACAUUGCUCGGGCAAAGCACCGGGGCUCCCUGACGCCCGGAAAGUUCGUGUUUUCUGCUGGAAAAGCGUACGUGUCAUGGGGAGGACAAGCUAAUGAGAAACAGGAGUUUGAGGUCCUGUGCGGUUUUGACGGAGUCUGGAAACCAGCUGUAGAGGAUAAAAUACCCGUAGGGGCUUUCGUCGCAGGCCAUUCCGAAGACGCGCUAGAAAGACUCUACAUCGGCAGGGUAGAACAUGAGGGACACCUCAUCCCUGGGAAAGUCCAACCGUCACAUCGAGUAUGUUACUUCACUUACCAAGGCAGAGAAGUGGGUUCCAAGAAAUAUGAAGUUCUAGUCGUCCCAACUGAGAACGAAAGAUGUGUUAAUAAAGUUUUCGUAACAGACAGAUGUUGGCAACCUGAUAUGGAAGAUUAUGAUGUCGCAGAUUCAGAUAUAUCUAAUGAUACCGAUGAAGAGCCAUUUGCGGAGCGAGGUGAACCUGACGGCCCAGUUUACAUAUUCUAAUACAUUUCAAUUAUCAUGUAUUAGAAUUAGAUAUUGAAUACCUAUCAAACUCAGGAAGCAACUGUACCAAGGAGGUUCGGUUGUGGGACUCGCUACCUCUGGACAAGAGGCAUGCGGCGCGGCUGUUCCGUCGGAGGCGUCGACGCCAACGACGCGCCCUACAAGAUUGAAAA
RNA transcript from Cydia splendana, 1489 nucleotides. RefSeq lists it as uncharacterized. The record is from RefSeq and is a predicted model, not a curated record. The transcript has 7 exons. NCBI's taxonomy places the organism in Eukaryota, Metazoa, Arthropoda, Insecta, Lepidoptera, Tortricidae.